Molecule: ribosomal RNA, 605 nt
Filed under: Moesziomyces parantarcticus
Lineage: Eukaryota; Fungi; Basidiomycota; Ustilaginomycetes; Ustilaginales; Ustilaginaceae
Description: partial large subunit ribosomal RNA
Rfam family: Eukaryotic large subunit ribosomal RNA
Source: RNAcentral
AAACUAACAAGGAUUCCCCUAGUAACGGCGAGUGAAGAGGGAAGAGCCCAAGAUUGAAAGCUGGCGUCUUCGGCGUCCGCAUUGUAAUCUCAAGAAGUGUUUUCCGCUUCGGACCAAGCCUAAGUCCCUUGGAAAAGGGCAUCAUAGAGGGUGAUAAUCCCGUACAUGGCUUGGAGCGCCCGAGGCUUUGUGAUACGCUUUCUAAGAGUCGAGUUGUUUGGGAAUGCAGCUCAAAAUGGGUGGUAAAUGCCAUCUAAGGCUAAAUAUUGGGGAGAGACCGAUAGCGAACAAGUACAGUGAUGGAAAGAUGAAAAGAACUUUGAAAAGAGAGUUAAACAGUACGUGAAAUUGCCAAAAGGGAAGGGUAGGAGGUCAGAGAUGCGGCCUGGGAUUCAGCCUUGCUUUUGCUUGGUGUUUUUCCCAGAUUGCAGGCCAACGUCGGUUUUGGGCACUGGAGAAGGGUAGGAGGAACGUGGCACCCCUCGGGGUGUGUUAUAGCCUCCUACUGGAUACAGCGACCGAGACCGAGGACAGCAGCGUACUCGUAAGAGCGGGCCCUCGGGCACCUUUACGCUUAGGGCGUUGGCAUAAUGGCCCUCUACCAC